This is a long non-coding RNA of Dinoponera quadriceps, 167 nucleotides long. RefSeq lists it as uncharacterized. The record is from RefSeq and is a predicted model, not a curated record. The transcript is spliced from 3 exons. NCBI's taxonomy places the organism in Eukaryota, Metazoa, Arthropoda, Insecta, Hymenoptera, Formicidae.
AGUCGCUCCGUCACGGACUUGUGUGGGUGUGGUCCUCUCUCUGGAUGUCGGAACUUGCACUUGUUCCCGGGAAGGAGGAUCUCUCGAAGAUUUGGAAAAGGAGGUUACCUUGGCGUAAGGACACGGCGGCGCCGGAUCGACCUUUCUGGGCGCGAUCCUGAGGAAAU